RNAcentral lists this ribosomal RNA (163 nucleotides) under Lespedeza fordii. RNAcentral's name for it is "5.8S ribosomal RNA". It matches the Rfam family "5.8S ribosomal RNA". From Rfam's summary of the family: 5.8S ribosomal RNA (5.8S rRNA) is a component of the large subunit of the eukaryotic ribosome. It is transcribed by RNA polymerase I as part of the 45S precursor that also contains 18S and 28S rRNA. Functionally, it is thought that 5.8S rRNA may be involved in ribosome translocation. The record is from RNAcentral. Lineage: Eukaryota; Viridiplantae; Streptophyta; Magnoliopsida; Fabales; Fabaceae.
GAAUGACUCUCGGCAACGGAUAUCUCGGCUCUCGCAUCGAUGAAGAACGUAGCAAAAUGCGAUACUUGGUGUGAAUUGCAGAAUCCCGUGAACCAUCGAGUCUUUGAACGCAAGUUGCGCCCGAAGCCAUUAGGCCGAGGGCACGCCUGCCUGGGUGUCACAC